This 483-nucleotide ribosomal RNA is filed under the name Phyllium sp. 8 SB-2021. RNAcentral describes it as "partial large subunit ribosomal RNA". The record is from RNAcentral. Lineage: Eukaryota; Metazoa; Arthropoda; Insecta; Phasmatodea; Phylliidae.
UCGAAAGGGGUUGGAUUCAGAUCUUACCGUUCGCAUACUAGGCAGCCCCACUGCGGAUGGUGCCGGUCGCCCGCGGCGAUUAAUUUCGUUUGCGGUGUCGUUUCUGGCGUCCACUCGGUGGUGGCUUGCCAACUUCACGGAGGGUCGCACUUCUCCCCUAGUAGAAACGUCGCGACCCGUUGGGUGCCGGCCGAAGGCCUGGGAAGGAAGCCCGCGCAUCCUGUGGUGGUUGCCACAGGCGUGCGGACUCCCGGUGACCCGGCCGGCUGCCCGACGGUAUGACCAGAGGAGCCGAUCCGCUGAAUGGGAAACACUGUGGUUUGUGAAGCGUGCGGCCUGGCGCCGAUACGUGCGGGGAUUGAGGUGUAAACCGGGGGUGCCCGUGCGAAGCACGGUCCCGGCCCCGCUGCGUUGUCGGUUGCCGGUGUCCUCGCACUGGAUCGAUACUCCCGUCUGCGACGCCCAUCUUCGGAUGGUCUCCCG